RNAcentral lists this long non-coding RNA (1775 nucleotides) under Octopus sinensis (East Asian common octopus). RNAcentral's name for it is "uncharacterized LOC118766103". Lineage: Eukaryota; Metazoa; Mollusca; Cephalopoda; Octopoda; Octopodidae. The record is from RNAcentral.
UAUGCACAUAUAUAUACACACACAUAUAAAUACAUCUAUCUGUAUAAUAUACAUAUUCAUAUAUUGUAUGUAUACAUACAUACAGCGAUAUCUAUACUUUUAUAUACACCUACUCUUUCACGUAUCAGUAUAAAUGUAAUUGUUGACAAACCUUAUCUGAUUGGUUUAUAUUGUUGAUUUUAAUAUUAUUAUUGACAAAACAGUAAUAAUUGACUGCACGAUGUAAUGAUGUUAUGUUGUGGCAAAUGACGGUUAAAUGGAAACUGCUGACGGUACAAUACGACCAUUGACAGUACAACAGAGAAAGUGAUAGCACAAUGUAAGAACUGAUUGUCCAGUGUACCGAGUGACUCCACAGUCUAUUAACUGACAGUAAAAUAUAGCACCUGAUGGUAACGUGUAGCUAUUGAUUGUGAAAUGUAGCUAUUAGCAGUAAAAUAUAGCUAUUCAUGGUAAAAUGUAGCUUUGGAUGGUGAUAUGCAGCUAUUGACAGUGAAAUUUAGCUAUUUAUUGUGAAAUGUAGCUAUUGACAGUAAAAUGUAGCUAUUGACAGUGAAAUGUAGCUAUUGACGGUAAAAUGUAGCUAUUGACGGUCAAAAAUCUAGCUAUUGGCAGUGAAAUGUAGCUAUUGACAAUAAAAUCUAGCAGUUGACGAUAAAAUGUAGCUAUUAGUGGUAGAAUGUAGCUAUGGACAGUGAAAUGUUGUUAUUGACGCUAAACUGCUACUAUUGACAUCAAAAUAUAGCUAUUGACAUAAAAACUGUAGUUAUUAAUAGCAAAAUGUAGCUAUUGACGAUAAAACGUCAUAACUGAUAGUAAAAUGUAACUAGUGACAUGAAGGUCCUUAUGUUCAUGAUUUCACAGCAAGACUAACUCUGUACAGGUGUGACACCGUAUAUUAAUUAACUAAUCGAAACCGAUAAAAAGAACAUCAGAUAAAUUAAUAUGCUAACAUACAAACCAAUGAAUACAGGUCAACUGAUGGAAUAACAUACAUAAUUAAAGAAAGAACAACCAAAAGGUUAUUGAAGAACUGAUUAAUUAAUUAAACAAAUGAGAAGAUAAUGGAACAACUGGUAGAUUGAUGAGCAAACCAACAAACGAGUGGAACCAGCUGACAAGCUAAUGGGAUAACUAGCAAGCUGGUGGGACAAUUGAAAAAUCGAUGGGAUAACCAAGAAACUAAAGAGACAAUUGAUAACCUGUGGAAACUGACAAGCUGAUGGAACUGAUGGGACAAAAGACAGGCCAAUAGGAUGAUUGACAAGCUGAUGUAUUAAAUGAUAAAUACAUGGGUCAACUGACAAGCUGAUGGGCUAAUUGUUAAGUUGAUGGGACAACUGACAAGCUGAUAGGAUAAUGAACAGGUUAGUAGGAUAACUGACAAUCUGUUGUGUUAACUGAUAAGUUAAUUUGACAACUGACAAGCUGAUGGGCUAAUUGACAAGCUGAUGGGCUAAUUGAUAAGCUGAUGGGAUAAUUGACAAGCUGAUGGGACAAUUGACAAGCUGAUGGGACAAUUGACAAGCUGAUGGGAUAAUUGACAAGCUGAUGGGACAAUUGACAAGCUGAUGGGCUAAUUGACAAGCUGAUGGGACAAUUGACAAGCUGAUGGGCUAAUUGACAUACUGAUAGGAUAAUUGACAAGCUGAUGGGACAAUUGACAAGCUGAUGGGACAAUUAACAAGCUGAUGGGACAAUUGACAAGCUUAUGGGACAAUUGACAAGCUGAUGGGACAAUUGACAAGCUGAUGGGCUAAUUGACAUACUGAUAG